AGUUAACUUACCCUUACGUCUGCGAUAUCCUCGGGAAACUGAGGGUAAUAGCAGAUAGAUGAUACUCACUGGAAUGUUGUUUCAUUCAAAGUUUACGUAAGGAAAGGACUGCGGUGGAUUAGGUUGUUGGCGGGGUAAUGGCCCACCAAGCCGAUGAUCCAUAAGGGCUCUUAGCGGAGAAGCCCUGAGGGGGAAUCUGAGACACUAUUCCCAGCCUUACGGGGUGCAGCAGCAGGGAAACUUCUACAAUGCACGAAAGUGUGAUAGAGCAAGCCAGAGUGAUUCUCUAUAAUUGAGAAUCUUUUGUGAGAUGUAAAAAGUCUCACGAAUAAGGACCGGGCAAGACUGGUGCCAGCCGCCGCGGUAAUACCAGCGGUCCAAGUCGCAAUCAUUUUUAUUGGGUCUAAAACAUCCGUAGCUUGCUAUGUAAGUCUCUUGUGAAAUCCCACGUCUCAAGCGUGGAAGUGCAAGAGAUACUGCAUAGCUAGAGACCGGGAGACGUAAGGAGUACGGUUAGGGUAGCGGUAAAAUGCGUUGAUCCUUACUGGACUAACGAUAGCGAAGGCACCUUACGAGAACGGAUCUGACAGUCAGGGAUGAAGGCUAGGGGCGCAAAACGGAUUAGAUACCCGUGUAGUCCUAGCAGUAAACGCUGAACACUAAACAUUAGGAUCUCUUCGAGAGGUUCCAGUGCUGUAGGGAAGCCGUAGAGUGUUCUACCUGGGAAGUAUAGUCGCAAGGCCGAAACUUAA
RNAcentral lists this ribosomal RNA (752 nucleotides) under uncultured euryarchaeote. Its description in RNAcentral is "bacterial SSU rRNA". It matches the Rfam family "Archaeal small subunit ribosomal RNA", at positions 102 to 859 of the family's 1478-position model. Lineage: Archaea; Methanobacteriati; Methanobacteriota. The record is from RNAcentral.